CGGCGAGGCGUUAACACAUGCAAGUCGAGGGGCAGCGAUGGGAGCGUAGCAAUACAUUCCCGAUGGCGACCGGCGCAAGGGUGCGUAACGCGUGAGCAACUGCCCGCAUCAGGGGCAUAAUCGGUGGAAAACGCCGUCUAAACUCCCCAUAACAUAGGAGGUGGCAUCGCCUUCUAUUGAAAUCCUUGGAGGAUGCGGAUGGGCUCGCGUGACAUUAGGCAGUUGGCGGGGUAACGGCCCACCAAACCGACGAUGUCUAGGGGAACUGAGAGGUUAAUCCCCCACACUGGAACUGAGACACGGUCCAGACUCCUACGGGAGGCAGCAGUGAGGAAUAUUGGACAAUGGAGGGAACUCUGAUCCAGCCAUGCCGCGUGCAGGAUAAGGUCCUUAAGUGGAUUGUAAACUGUCUUUUGUAUGAGAGCAAUAAGGAUUACGUGUAAUCCGAUGAGAGUAUCAUACGAAUAAGCAUCGGCUAACUCCGUGCCAGCCGCGGC
This 497-nucleotide ribosomal RNA is filed under the name uncultured bacterium. Its description in RNAcentral is "bacterial SSU rRNA". It matches the Rfam family "Bacterial small subunit ribosomal RNA", at positions 40 to 518 of the family's 1533-position model. The record is from RNAcentral.